This 84-nucleotide transfer RNA is filed under the name Candidatus Omnitrophica bacterium CG11_big_fil_rev_8_21_14_0_20_63_9. RNAcentral's name for it is "tRNA-Leu". It matches the Rfam family "tRNA". Rfam says of the family: Transfer RNA (tRNA) molecules are approximately 80 nucleotides in length. Their secondary structure includes four short double-helical elements and three loops (D, anti-codon, and T loops). Further hydrogen bonds mediate the characteristic L-shaped molecular structure. tRNAs have two regions of fundamental functional importance: the anti-codon, which is responsible for specific mRNA codon recognition, and the 3' end, to which the tRNAs corresponding amino acid is attached (by aminoacyl-tRNA synthetases). tRNAs cope with the degeneracy of the genetic code in two manners: having more than one tRNA (with a specific anti-codon) for a particular amino acid; and 'wobble' base-pairing, i.e. permitting non-standard base-pairing at the 3rd anti-codon position. The record is from RNAcentral. Lineage: Bacteria; Pseudomonadati; Candidatus Omnitrophota.
GCCGAGGUGGCGGAACUGGCAGACGCACGGGUCUCAAAAACCCGCGACCGCAAGGUCAUGAGAGUUCGAUUCUCUCCCUCGGCA